AGUCGAGAUCAGUCAGAUUGAGGUCGAGACUUGAGAAACUCGUAGAAGAGAAGAAAAAGUAGAAUAGUCACAAAAAAAUAGAGAAACGAUAAAAAAUUAUAAAACAAAAACUAAACGAAAUGAAGAAGAGAUCUAGAGAUGAGAAUAGUGAAUUGUGAAUUGCGUUGUUUUGUGAUUGAUUAAUUAGUAGUAGAAAGUUGUGUUGUUGUGUCUGUGCUGUGUGUGUUUAGUGUUACAACAACUACUAAACUUAAGUUACUGAGUAUUUUUUAAGAGAAAAACUAACAAAACUUGAAAGUUUUCGACAAAUAAAUAGGCCUAGUGAGUUCUCUGUCCACUUGCACUUGCCUAUUUUAAGCCAAUUCUAGAACACAACAUUGUGAAGGAAAAUUAAGCCUAAAAAUGCAAACUAACAAUCAUCGAAUGUCCCCUUUGAGCAAUUCCAAUCAUGCGAAUGAUGAAUAUGACUUCGAUGAUGAUGACAACUUGUCUGCCCAUGAUUCAGAAGAAAGUGAUGAAGGGACAGAAGAAGCCAGUGAGUCAGAAAUUGCCAAAGGGGCUGAAGAAUAUACUGAAAUUAAGGAACA
Molecule: long non-coding RNA, 587 nt
Organism: Macrosteles quadrilineatus (aster leafhopper)
Lineage: Eukaryota; Metazoa; Arthropoda; Insecta; Hemiptera; Cicadellidae
Exons: 3
Source: RefSeq, a predicted model, not a curated record